Molecule: ribosomal RNA, 468 nt
Filed under: uncultured bacterium
Lineage: Bacteria
Description: partial 16S ribosomal RNA
Rfam family: Bacterial small subunit ribosomal RNA
Source: RNAcentral
GACGAACGCUGGCGGCGUGCUUAACACAUGCAAGUCGAACGGAAAGGCCCUGCUUUUGUGGGGUGCUCGAGUGGCGAACGGGUGAGUAACACGUGAGUAACCUGCCCUUGACUUUGGGAUAACUUCAGGAAACUGGGGCUAAUACCGGAUAGGAGCUCCUGCUGCAUGGUGGGGGUUGGAAAGUUUCGGCGGUUGGGGAUGGACUCGCGGCUUAUCAGCUUGUUGGUGGGGUAGUGGCUUACCAAGGCUUUGACGGGUAGCCGGCCUGAGAGGGUGACCGGGCACAUUGGGGAGGAGAUACCGCCCCGACUCCUACGGGGGGGAAAGGGGGGGAAUAUUGGAAAAAGGGGGGAAGCCCGAGGGAGCAAAGCCGCGGGGGGGAAGAAGGCCUUUGGGGUGGAAAACGCUUUUGCCCGGGAAGGAGGGGGAGUGGAGGGAAAGGGUAAAGAAGCAACGGCUAAAUAAGUG